This 482-nucleotide ribosomal RNA is filed under the name uncultured bacterium. RNAcentral describes it as "bacterial SSU rRNA". It matches the Rfam family "Bacterial small subunit ribosomal RNA", at positions 29 to 486 of the family's 1533-position model. The record is from RNAcentral.
AACUAACGCUGGCGGCGUGCCUAACACAUGCAAGUCGUACGAGAAAGUCGGCUUCGGCUGAUGAGUAAAGUGGCGCACGGGUGAGUAACGCGUGGAUAAUCUGCCCUUAAGUGUGGAAUAACGUACCGAAAGGUGCGCUAAUACCGCAUAAUACUGAGUGACUACUGUUGCUCAGUCAAAGAAGGCCUCUGUUUACAAGCUUUUGCUUUAGGAUGAGUCCGCGUACCAUUAGCUAGUUGGUCGGGUAAUGGCCUACCAAGGCGACGAUGGUUAGCUGGUCUGAGAGGAUGAUCAGCCACACUGGAACUGAGACACGGUCCAGACUCCUACGGGAGGCAGCAGUGAGGAAUAUUGCGCAAUGGGGGCAACCCUGACGCAGCAACGCCGCGUGAGUGAGGAAGGUUUUCGGACCGUAAAGCUCUGUCGAGCGGGAAGAAAUGCAUGGUGGCUAAUAUCCAUCAUGCUUGACGGUACCGCUAAAA